GUAGAGGCGUUGAAGGAGAAGAGUAAGAGGAUUACAGUCACUCAGCGAGCCUGGUCAGGUGUGAGCAGGCGUGCCUAGCCCUCUGAAAAUCGCUCCUGAGCUACCAACCCAAUCCCCGAUGUAAUCGAGGUAGUAGGCUUGGUCGGAGCCGUCAGCCGUUAGUCAUGACGAGGGCAUUCUUACGUGCUCUUAAGAGUGUUCCCGAUCCUGUAUCGAGUACGGGACAAGUUUAUCGGGAGAAUUAGGGUGGUACCGCGGGUUAUUGAGUCCCGUCCCUUUA
Molecule: non-coding RNA, 280 nt
Filed under: Chloroflexota bacterium
Lineage: Bacteria; Bacillati; Chloroflexota
Description: Chloroflexi bacterium T-box sequence
Rfam family: T-box leader
About the family: Uncharged tRNA acts as the effector for transcription antitermination of genes in the T-box leader family. T-boxes are found upstream of many aminoacyl-tRNA synthetase genes and some amino acid biosynthetic genes usually in Gram-positive bacteria.
Source: RNAcentral